UACGAGGGGAGCAAGCGUUGUUCGGAUUUACUGGGCGUAAAGGGCGCGUAGGCGGUCGUGACAAGUCACUUGUGAAAUCUCCGGGCUUAGCUCGGAACGGUCAAGUGAUACUGUCGGACUAGAGUACAGAAGGGGCAACUGGAAUUCUCGGUGUAGCGGUGAAAUGCGUAGAUAUCGAGAGGAACACCUGCGGCGAAGGCGGGUUGCUGGGCUGAUACUGACGCUGAUGCGCGAAAGCCAGGGGAGCGAACGGG
RNAcentral lists this ribosomal RNA (254 nucleotides) under uncultured bacterium. RNAcentral describes it as "partial 16S ribosomal RNA". It matches the Rfam family "Bacterial small subunit ribosomal RNA", at positions 524 to 776 of the family's 1533-position model. The record is from RNAcentral.